RNAcentral lists this ribosomal RNA (728 nucleotides) under uncultured archaeon. RNAcentral's name for it is "bacterial SSU rRNA". It matches the Rfam family "Archaeal small subunit ribosomal RNA", at positions 44 to 780 of the family's 1478-position model. The record is from RNAcentral.
CUAAGCCAUGCGAGUCAACAUAGCAAUAUGUGGCAUACGGCUCAGUAACACGUAGUCAACAUGCCCAGGGGACGUGGAUAACCUCGGGAAACUGAGGAUAAACCGCGAUAGGUCAUCACUUCUGGAAUGGGUAUUGACUUAAAUCUAUAUGGCCCCUGGAUUGGACUGCGGCCGAUCAGGCAGUUGGUGAGGUAAUGGCCCACCAAACCUGUAACCGGUACGGGCUCUGAGAGGAGGAGCCCGGAGAUGGGCACUGAGACAAGGGCCUAGGCCCUAUGGGGCGCAGCAGGCGCGAAACCUCUGCAAUAGGCGAAAGCCUGACAGGGUUACUCUGAGUGAUUCCCGCUAAGGGAAUCUUUUGGCAUCUCUAAAAAUGGUGCAGAAUAAGGGGUGGGCAAGUCUGGUGUCAGCCGCCGCGGUAUUACCAGCACCCCGAGUGGUCGGGACGAUUAUUGGCCCUAAAGCAUCCGUAGCCGGUCUUGCAAGUCUUCCGUUAAAUCCAGCUGCUUAACAGAUGGGCUGCGGAGGAUACUACAAGGCUAGGAGGCGGGAGAGGCAAGCGGUACUCAGUGGGUAGGGGUAAAAUCCUCUGAUCCAUUGAAGACCACCAGUGGCGAAGGCGGCUUGCCAGAACGCGCUCGACGGUGAGGGAUGAAAGCUGGGGGAGCAAACCGGAUUAGAUACCCGGGUAGUCCCAGCUGUAAACGAUGCAGACUCGGUGAUGGGCC